This 713-nucleotide ribosomal RNA is filed under the name uncultured Bacteroidales bacterium. Its description in RNAcentral is "bacterial SSU rRNA". It matches the Rfam family "Bacterial small subunit ribosomal RNA", at positions 53 to 754 of the family's 1533-position model. The record is from RNAcentral. Lineage: Bacteria; Pseudomonadati; Bacteroidota; Bacteroidia; Bacteroidales.
ACAUGCAAGUCGAGGGGCAGCAUUUUAGUUUGCUUGCAAACUAAAGAUGGCGACCGGCGCACGGGUGAGUAACACGUAUCCAACCUGCCGAUAACUCGGGGAUAGCCUUUCGAAAGAAAGAUUAAUAUCCGAUAGUAUAUUAAAACCGCAUGGUUUUACUAUUAAAGAAUUUCGGUUAUCGAUGGGGAUGCGUUCCAUUAGUUUGUUGGCGGGGUAACGGCCCACCAAGACUACGAUGGAUAGGGGUUCUGAGAGGAAGGUCCCCCACAUUGGAACUGAGACACGGUCCAAACUCCUACGGGAGGCAGCAGUGAGGAAUAUUGGUCAAUGGACGAGAGUCUGAACCAGCCAAGUAGCGUGAAGGAUGACUGCCCUAUGGGUUGUAAACUUCUUUUAUAUGGGAAUAAAGUAUUCCACGUGUGGGAUUUUGUAUGUACCAUAUGAAUAAGGAUCGGCUAACUCCGUGCCAGCAGCCGCGGCAAUACGGAGGAUCCGAGCGUUAUCCGGAUUUAUUGGGUUUAAAGGGAGCGUAGGUGGAUUGUUAAGUCAGUUGUGAAAGUUUGCGGCUCAACCGUAAAAUUGCAGUUGAAACUGGCAGUCUUGAGUACAGUAGAGGUGGGCGGAAUUCGUGGUGUAGCGGUGAAAUGCUUAGAUAUCACGAAGAACUCCGAUUGCGAAGGCAGCUCACUAGACUGCAACUGACACUGAUGCUC